GACGGAGGGUGCGAGCGUUAUUCGGAAUUAUUGGGCGUAAAGAGAGUGUAGGCGGCCGGUUAAGUCAGGUGUGAAAGCCCGGGGCUCAGCCUCGGAAGUGCACUUGAAACUGGUCGGCUUGAGUUCGGGAGAGGGAAGCGGAAGUCCUGGUGUAGAGGUGAAAUUCGUAGAUAUCAGGAGGAACCUCGGUGGCGCGGGCGGCUUCCUGGACCGAAACUGACGCCGAGUCACGGAAGCGUCCGUAGCAAAUAGG
RNAcentral lists this ribosomal RNA (253 nucleotides) under uncultured bacterium. RNAcentral's name for it is "partial 16S ribosomal RNA". It matches the Rfam family "Bacterial small subunit ribosomal RNA", at positions 524 to 776 of the family's 1533-position model. The record is from RNAcentral.